CCUACACACGCUGUCACAGAACAAAACAAGGACUAUGAAUGCGACUGACUCUAACGUCUAUGUGUAUAAUGAAUUCCGUCAAUGAAAAAGAGGGCCAUACCCCAGUCUUUGCCUGUGGGAAUGUGGUGUACCACAGGAGGUCAGAUGGCAUUCCAUGAUGGAAUAACAUUUCUUACCAAAUUCAGCAGGUCAAAAGUGCUCUUUACCAUCCACAGACAGUAUUUGGCAGACUAGGAACAAGACAUUCCACUACAUGUAAUAGCGGUUUGGUUGUGCAUGAACAGCAAAUGCAUCCGGUGCUGGUUUGUUAACAUGCAGGGGCUGCCACUGUCUUCCUUUAGGAUAACAAAGAUGUCAGUUUCAAGCAAAAUAAUCCAGGAAGAACCCCAGGUCUUACUGUUCAAGACGAAAUGAGGUUGUGACCAUCAGGCUCAAAGCUGUGGAGAAAGAUGUCUGGCCGGGAGUCAUACUGAUGUUAUGCUUUACUGAUGUUGUUGCCAACACUUACAAACCAUUCACUACAACUACCACAACGAACAAUGUACUGAUAAGGCAGAAAAUUUGAGCUACCUUUGUGAAAGAGGCCAAGAGAGGAUUGGAUGGUGGAGUUUCAGAUGACACAAUGCUGACUGUUUCAACCCAGCUGAUUUUGCUUCCUACAGGCAACAGAAGGAAGUCUUCACUUUUAUUUUAAACAAUUCAGUUUUAAUGCCACCAAUAUGUCAAGAUAAAAUGUAACUGAACAGAUUGAAAUUAUACCAACUUCCUUCAUUAACACAAACUAUCUGUGUACCUGGACCAUCAGCUUGAACAGUAUACUACUUCAACUACCAUUUCCUCAUAUUCAAACAUUACUAGAAAGGUCUGAAAGGCAAUCAUACUAAAUGAAGAAUGAUAAACUCCUGUGUUAUAAAUUCUGCUGCAACUUGAGAUGACCAGUAUGUACAGACAGUGCCAAAUUUAUUGCAUUUAUAACUUGUGUCUUAUCUGACAGUGCUCUUUGCAUAGAUAUUGUACUUGAAGUUAACUAUGAUUUUAUUAAGAUCUUAGAUGCGAUUUUUCACUCUGUAUUGAUGUUCACAUACUUCAAUUUCUGUUGCCAUACCAGUGUCACUAACAGAUAAUCUAGAUGAAUUUGUUUUUAUUUAUUUCUACCACUGUUGUCUGUGAACAUUUUCAUAUCAUAUAGUUAGUACACUUCAUUAUAUACAGGGCAGUCAAUGUCUUAUUUC
Mya arenaria is the source of this 1232-nucleotide long non-coding RNA. RefSeq lists it as uncharacterized. The record is from RefSeq and is a predicted model, not a curated record. Lineage: Eukaryota; Metazoa; Mollusca; Bivalvia; Myida; Myidae. The transcript is spliced from 4 exons.